Orcinus orca (killer whale) is the source of this 7172-nucleotide long non-coding RNA. RefSeq lists it as uncharacterized. Lineage: Eukaryota; Metazoa; Chordata; Mammalia; Artiodactyla; Delphinidae. The record is from RefSeq and is a predicted model, not a curated record. The transcript has 2 exons.
UUUCCUUUGCUUUGCAAAAGCUUUGAAGUUUCAUUAGGUCCCAUUUGUUUAUUUUUGUUUUUAUUUCCAUUACUCUAGGAGGUAGAUCAGAAAAGAUCUUGCUGUGAUUUAUGUCAAAGAGUGUUCUUCCUAUGUUUUCCUCUAAGAGUUUUAUAGUGUCCGGUCUUACAUUUGGGUCUCUAAUCCAUUUUGAGUUUAUUUUUGUGUAUGGUGUUAGGGAGUGUUCUAAUUUCAUUCUUUUACAUGUAGCUGUCCAGUUUUCCCAGCAACACUUAUUGAAGAGACUGUCUUUUCUCCAGUGUAUAUCCUUGCCUCCUUUUUCAUAGAUUAGUUGACCAUAGGUGCGUGGGUUUAUCUCUGGGCUUUCUAUCUUGUUCCAUUGAUCUAUGUUUCUGCUUUUAUGCCAGUACCAUAUUGUCUUGAUUACUGUAGCUUUGUAGUAUAGCCUGAAGUCAGGGAGUCUGAUUUCCUCCUGCUCCAUUUUUUUCCCUCAAGACUGCUUUGGCUAUUCUGGGUCUUUUGUGUCUCCAUACAAAUUUUAAGAUUUUUUGUUCUAGUUCCGUAAAAAAUACCAUUAGUAAUUUGAUAGGGAUUGCAUUGAAUCUGUAGAUUGCUUUGGGUAGUAUAGUCAUUUUCAAAAUAUUGAUUCUUCCAAUCCAAGAACAUGGUAUAUCUCUCCAUCUGUUGGUAUCAUCUUUAAUUUCUUUCAUCAGUGUCUUAUAGUUUUCUGCAUACAGGUCUUUUGCCUCCCUAGGUAGGUUUCUUCCUAGGUAUUUUAUUCUUUUUGUUGCAAUGGUAAAUGGGAGUGUUUCCUAAAUUUCUCUUUCAGAUUUUUCAUCAUUAGUGUAUAGGAAUGAAAGAGAUUUCUGUGCAUUACUUUUGUAUCCUGCAAUUUUACCAAAUUCAUUGAUUAGCUCUAGUAGUUUUCUGGUGGCAUUUUUAGGAUUCUCUAUAUAUAGUAUCAUGUCAUCUGCAAACAGUGACAGUUUUACUUCUUCUUUUCCAAUUUGUAUUCCUUUUAUUUCUUUUUCUUCUCUGGUUGCUGUGGCUAGGACUUCCAAAACUAUGUUGAAUAAUAGUGGUGAGCGCAGACAUCCCUGUCUUGUUCCUGAUCUUAGAGGAAAUGCUUUCAGUUUUUCACCAUUGAGAAUUAUAUUUGCUGUGGGUUUGUUAUAUAUGGCCUUUAUUAUGUUGAGGUAGGUUCCCUCUAUGCCCACUUUCUGUACAGUUUUUAUCAUAAAUGGGUGUUGACUUUUGUCAAAAGCUUUUUCUGCAUCUAUUGAGAUGAUCAUAUGGUUUUUAUUCUUCAGUUUGUUAAUAUGGUGUAUCACAUUGAUUGAUUUGCGUAUACUAAAGAAUUCUUGCAUCCCUGAGAUAAAUCCCAGUUGAUCAUGGUGUAUGAUCCUUUUAAUGUGUUGUUGGAUUCUGUUUGCUAGUAUUUUGUUGAGGAUUUUUGCAUCUAUAUUCAUCAGUGAUAUUGGUCUGUAAUUUUCUUUUUUUGUAGUAUCUUUGUCUGGUUUUGGUAUCAGGGUGAUGGUGGCCUCAUAGAAUGAGUUGGGAGUGUUCCUUUCUCCCCAGUUGUAUGGAAGAGUUUGAGAAGGAUGGGUGUCUGCUCUUCUCUAAAUGUUUGAAAGAAUUCACCUGUGAAGCCAUCUGGUCCUGGACUUUGUUGGAAGAUUUUUAAUCACAGUUUCAAUUUCAUUACUUGUGAUUGGUCUGUGCAUAUUUUCUAUUUCUUCCUGGUUCAGUCUUGGAAGGUUAUACCUUUCUAAGAAUUUGUCCAUUUCUUCCAGGUUGUCCAUUUAAUUGGCAUAGAGUUGCUUGUAGUAGUCUCUUAGGAUGCUUUGUAUUUCUGUGGUGUCUGUUGUAACUUCUCCUUGUUCAUUUCUAAUUUUAUUGAUUUGAGUCCUCUCCCUCUUUUUCUUGAUGCGUCUGGCUGAUGGUUUAUCAAUUUUGUUUAUCUUCUCAAAGAGCCAGCUUUUAGUUUUAUUGAUCUUUGCUAUUGUUUUCUUUGUUUCUAUUUCAUUUAUUUCCACUCUGAUCUUUAUGAUUUCUUUCCUUCUGCUAAUUUUGGGUUUUGUUUGUUCUUCUUUCUCUAGUUCCUUUAGGUGUAAGUUUAGAUUGUUUAUUUGAGAUUUUUCUUGUUUCUUGAGGUAGGCUUGUAUAGCUAUAAACUUCCCUCUUAGAACUGCUUUUGCUGCAUUCCAUAGGUUUUGGAUUGUCGUGUUUUCAUUGUCAUUUGUCUCUAGGCAUUUUUUGAUUUCCUCUUUGAUUUCUGCAGUGAUGACUUGGUUAUUUAGUAACGUAUUGUUUAGCCUCCAUGUGUUUGUGUUUUUUGUUUUUUCCCUGUAAUUCAUUUCUAAUCUCAUAGCAUUGUGGUCAGAAAAGAUGCUUGAUAUGAUUUCAAUUUUCUUAAAUUUACUGAGGUUUGAUUUGUGACCCAAGGUGUGAUCUAUCCUGGAGAAUGUUCCGUGCGCACUUGAGAAGAAAGUGUAAUCUGCUGUUUUGGGAUGGAAUGUCCUAUAAAUAUCAAUUCAAUCUAUCUGGUCUGUUGUGUCAUUUAAGGCUUCUGUUUCCUUAUUUAUUUUCAUUUUGGUUGAUCUGUCCAUUGGUGUAAGUGAGGUGUUAACGUCCCCCACUAUUAUUGUGUUACUGUCGAUUUCCUCUUUUAUAGCUGUUAGCAGUUGCUAACAAGAAGUUUCUGCUCCUUCCUCCUGAAAUUCUCCUCCCUUCCGUCUUCUUUUGAUUAACUUUUUCGUGGUAUUUCAACUCAAAUGCUGUAUUGUCACCAAAGCCUUUCCUGACUCUGCAGACGUAGUUCACCCUCAUCUUAUGAGAUGCUACAGCACUCUGUCCUUCUCUGUCACACUUAGUGCAGAUGGAAUUUACAGAAUUAGAUGAGGGCAGGUAAGGUGGUUUUUUGGUUUGUUUUGGUUUGGUCUGGUCUACUUAGCUUAGAACAAUGCAUGACAUAGGUAAUGCAAUAAGCAUUUAAAAUUUUAUUGUGAAAUGUAUCAGACAUUUUUGAAGAUAAUGUAAAACAUUAUUUUAUUAAGUGAUAAAAUAAACUCCCAGGUACCAACCCUUCAUUUAAGAAACAGAAUAUUAUUAGUACCAUAAAAGCACCCUGUGUAAUCCUCCUGACUUUUGUAUUAAUCAUUCUUUAGUUUUGCUUAUAGUUUCAUUACCUAUGAGUAUAUGCCAAGGACGUGUCUGGUUGAGUUUGGAAAAACUGAGUAGCAAGCACAGGUUCAGCUGUGGGGGAAAGCUGCUGCCAUGAGAAAGCUGAGCAGUCCCUGGGUUAUGGUGUGCUUCUGUGCACUGAAACGUUUCAGGAUCCCUUAGGGGAGUUAAUGGGCAAGGUCAGGAGUGACUUGUGUGAAUCCACACUUCCAAGCCAUAGUGUGAUGGAAUAUUUUGUGAGUUCACACAUCCAGGGCUCCUGCCAGGGUCGUAGUGUGAUGGAGUAUUGUGUGAACUCACACACCCAGGGCUCCCGCCAAGGUCGUAGUGUGAUGGAGUAUUGUGUGAACUCACACAUCCAGGGCUCCCACCAAGGUCGUGGCGUGGUGGAGUAUUAGAUAGCCAACGUGUGGAAUAGGCUGGUUUACAUCUACACUUACCGUUCAGUUUUCCUUCCUUCAACUCUUAGGAGUAGGGCAAAGCAGAAAACCUCUGUGAGGGGAAAAGACUGCCCUCAUGUGAUCUAGGCUAUAGGGCGGAGACUUUCUUAGUGCACCCUCAAGCAAAUCAAGUGCUGAAGGGAAUCUGGCCAAGCUUUUAAUCUGUCCUUAGGUUAAAAAAUGGCCCCAUGGCAGCACAGGUCUUUCAGAUGAUAGACCUCGGUGUAGCUGUGUGUUGAGCACACUGAUCCAAUCUUGGUCAGUCACCUCUGUAUCUAAGACAGAGGACCUCUUUGGAACCUUCCUUCCUGUCUUCCUAGGGAUCCCCUCUACCUUCCUUGUGCAUUGGAUCUUGUUUCCUAACACCUAUUUUGUCUCUUGGUUUACUCUCUCAUUUUGGUGGAGCCUAUUCUCUGUUAUCUUGUUGGGGAAAGUGGUGUAGGAAAUAAAUAUCUCUGAAACCUUUAGUGUCUAAAAAUGUCUUUAUUCUGCUCUUACACUUGUUUAGCUAAGUAUGGAAUUCUAGGUUGGAACUCUUUCCUUCAGAAUUUUGAGAAUAUUGCUCCAUUGGCUUUUGGGUUGCAGCCUUGCUGUUGAGAGUUUCAAAGCUUUUCUGGUUGCUAGUUCUUUAUAUGUGAUCCUUUUCCCCUUUCAAGAAUCUUGUAGGAUCUUCUCUUUGUUUUGGCUGCCCUAAUGGCACACGAUGAUGUACCUCUGGUCUCUCAGUACUCAUUGGGCCCUUUUCCUCUGGAAGCAGAUGUACUUCAGUUCUGGGAAAUUUUCUUAGUUUGUCAAUCAUUUUCUCCCAUUUGUCUUCUCUGUUCGUUCUUUAUGGAACUUCUGUCAUUUAGAUGGUGGAUCAUCUUCACUGGUUCUCUUAAUUUUUAGUUUUUUUCCUCUCCUUUUUUUCCCAUUUAUUCCUCUUUUCUGUAUUUAUUAGGUUAUUUCUUCAGCCGUAACUGCUUUUUUGAGCUUUUUGCUUUUCUUUAUCUCUUUUUUUUGUCUAUCUCUCUUUCUCCUUCCUCUCUCCCCUCCUUUUCCUCACUCCGUCUCAUUCCAUUUUUUCUUUUAAAAUUCAAGUGCUCUUUUGUUCUAUGACUGUUCCUUUGUUAUAGCAACAUUUUCCUUUUUAAACAUUUAUUGUAUUGAAGUAUAGUUGAUUUAGAAUGUGUUAAUUUCUGCUGUACAGCAAAGUGACUCAGCUAUACACAUAUAUACAUUCUUUUUAUAUUCUUUUCCAUUAUGGUUUAUCACAGGAUAUUGAAUAUAGCUCCCUGUGCUAUACAGUAGGACCUUGUUGUUUAUCUAUCCUAUAUAUACUAGUUUGCAUCUGCUAAUUGCAAACUCCCAAUCCAUUCUUCCCCCACCCCCACCCAUAGCAACAUUUUCUUAUUUCAUGAAUGCGAUUUUUUUUCUUUAAGAACAAUACUGAUAGAUUUUUAAGUUUUAUUUCUCUCUACAAGUUGCUUUUUCUCUGUUUUGGUUUCUAACUUGCAUGUUAGAAGCUUUCUUCAGGUGUCUGAUAGUCGUCAGUUAUCUGCACGUGACUGAAAGGAGGCUGAUUGGACGUUCAGAGGGCACACAUGGGACUUGUGUCUUCGAGUGUCACAUUAGGGUGAUGUUGGUGAGCUGAUUGCUAGGAACCUGUGAAGUUGGUAUCUGAGAUCUUAUCUAAUAAAAUAGAUUUACAUAACAGAUCUAUUAUAGACAUUUUGGCCUGGUCAGCUUCCCCGUGUCAAGAACUGUGAAGAAGCUGAGAUUUUACGCUACAUGUUGUUGAAAGUAGCUCUCCAUGGUUUCUCAGUUUCCGUACAUCUAGUGAGCAAGGACACUGAGAGGCUUUUGUUCCAGACCAUCUUUUUAAGGAUGUUGCUGUAGUGAAGAGCUUUGGGAGGUGUAGGUAGUGUCUCUGUCUGGAGCAGAAGGUGGAUUUGUUUACUGUCUAGUAUGACAGAGAUACCGUCUCCCUCCAGUUCAAAGGUUAGACAGGUUUUCUUAUACCUCCUUAAAAAAGAUCAAGGUUUCCUAAGCUUAGAGUUCUUCAACUGUGACCCAAACCCUAUGCGUGCGUGGUAUCCACCUGUGUCACCCCGUGUGACUUGGGGGAGUGAGAACAAGGGCAACCGAGGUGAACUUGAAACUCUGACCCCAGAGUCUCGUGUCUCUUGCCAGCAUCCAUGACCCUGUGGCCAGCUAGCUUACUGGCUUGCAAAUAGGGUUAGAUCUUACGCUCUUUACAGUUCUUGAAAUGCCAGGGAAGACUCUAGCCUGUUUCCUUCCUGGAGAGUAAGACUCCUUUAACUGCCAGCAUUCUGGGAACCCAGUAGAGGAAGAGCUCUGUGCACCUCGGCGUUCAGGGUUCAGAACGCCUCUGCUUAUACCUUCGUGCUCUCAGCUUUGCCAGGUGACUUCCCGUUCAGAGGACCUCUGUUCUGUCAUCUCUGGGGAACAAACCUCCAGACUCCUCAGGUGAAGGAGGCCUGUAGCAGGGAGAGGACGUGGGGUUCUGGUCCUUGCUGAGAGAUCCCCUUCUCAAUGAAGCAUUGCCUGACUUUUCUGUUUAAAACCGCUAUCCUUCUCACCCUCUUUCCUCUCUUUAUCUUUCUGCAUAGCACUUACUACCUUCAGACGUACUGUAUCAUUUUUCUUAUUUACUGUCUUUAUUCUCUAUCACCCUUCCCACUGGUAUGUAAGCUCCAAAAGGUCAGAGAUUUUUAUCUCUUUAAUUUUACUCUUUAUCUCUAACACCUAGAAAGUGUCUAUUAUGUGCCUAUUUAUAGACUAUCUGUUAUAAUACAGCUGUUGUCAUAGCUAUUCAGUAAAUAUUUGUUGACUGGAUGGGUGAAUGAAUGACUGGAGGAACUUGCACAGCUUUUGCCCUUGGCUUCUGGUUUGAGAAUAAAACUUGAUAAGUUUAUUUUCUUUAAGUCAUUGGUACAUCUUUUUAAAAGCUUUAAAUAUUGAUGUUAAUUGAGGGCAUAGGUGACUCUCACAGCAGGUUAAUUAUUGUCAUUGCAAAGCAAUUUAGGAUAAUUUGUUUUGUGUACAAUUUCUUAUCAUGUGGUUUAGAAUCCUGUUUUGGGAACUCCUAACUGCAGUGUUCUUUGUUUCUGUUAGAGCAUUUCUAUCACUCUCAGUCAGUAAAUACUGGAUAUGCGUAGUUUGUAGGUAGAGCUAACGGGAUUUGCUAAGGACUGGAUGUGGGGCAUAGAAAACAGAAAGAUUAAUAAAGAUUGAAUUUGGGGGUUUCCCUGGUGGCACAGUGGUUAAGAAUCUGCCUGCCAAUGCAGGGGACACGGGUUCGAGCCCUGGUCCAGGAAGAUCCCACAUGCUGCGGAGCAACUAAGCCCAUGUGCCACAACUACUGAGCCUGCGCUCUAGAGCCUGCAAGCCACAACUACUGAGCCCACGCACCACAACUACUGAAGCCCACGCACCUAAAGCUCGUGCUCUGCAACAAGAGAAGCCACCGCAAUGAGAAGCAUGCACACCACAGCGAAGAGUAGCCCCCGCUCGCUGCAACUAGAGAAAGCCCGCACGCAGCAACGA